GACGAACGCUGGCGGCGUGCUUAACACAUGCAAGUCGAACGGAAAGGCCCUGCUUUUGUGGGGUGCUCGAGUGGCGCGCGGGUGAGUAACACGUGAGUAACCUGCCCUUGACUUUGGGAUAACUUCAGGAAACUGGGGCUAAUACCGGAUAGGAGCUCCUGCUGCAUGGUGGGGGUUGGAAAGUUUCGGCGGUUGGGGAUGGACUCGCGGCUUACCAGCUUGUUGGUGGGGUAGUGGCUUACCAGGGCUUUGGCAGGUAGCCGGCCUGGGUGGGUGGCCAGCGUCCUGAGGACUACGAGAGGCCCCAGACUGCAACGGGAGGCAGCAGUAGAGAAUCUGACACAGUGAGCGGAAGUGUGUUGCAGCAACGCCGCGUGCGGGAUGCCGGCCUACGGGUUGUGAACCGCUUUCGCCUGUGACGAAGCGUGAGUGACGGUACUGAGUAAAGAAGCACCGGCUAACUACGUG
RNAcentral lists this ribosomal RNA (468 nucleotides) under uncultured bacterium. Its description in RNAcentral is "partial 16S ribosomal RNA". It matches the Rfam family "Bacterial small subunit ribosomal RNA", at positions 28 to 507 of the family's 1533-position model. The record is from RNAcentral.